UGGGGAAUAUUGGGCAAUGGGCGAAAGCCUGACCCAGCAACGCCGCGUGGAGGAAGAAGGUUUUCGGAUCGUAAACUCCUGUCCUCAGGGAAGAGAGGGAGACGGUAGCUUAGGAGGAAGCCCCGGCUAACUACGUGCCAGCAGCCGCGGUAAUACGUAGGGGGCGAGCGUUGUCCGGAAUUACUGGGCGUAAAGGGUGCGUAGGCGGUUUGGUAAGUUGGAUGUGAAAUACCCGGGCUUAACUUGGGGGCUGCAUCCAAUACUGUCGGACUUGAGUGCAGGAGAGGAAAGCGGAAUUCCUAGUGUAGCGGUGAAAUGCGUAGAUAUUAGGAGGAACACCGGUGGCGAAGGCGGCUUUCUGGACUGUAACUGACGCUGAGGCACGAAAGCGUGGGGAGCAAACAGGAUUAGAUACCCUGGUAGU
Molecule: ribosomal RNA, 424 nt
Filed under: uncultured Anaerovorax sp.
Lineage: Bacteria; Bacillati; Bacillota; Clostridia; Peptostreptococcales; Anaerovoracaceae
Description: bacterial SSU rRNA
Rfam family: Bacterial small subunit ribosomal RNA
Source: RNAcentral